Molecule: ribosomal RNA, 606 nt
Filed under: Streptococcus anginosus
Lineage: Bacteria; Bacillati; Bacillota; Bacilli; Lactobacillales; Streptococcaceae
Description: bacterial SSU rRNA
Rfam family: Bacterial small subunit ribosomal RNA
Source: RNAcentral
UGACCGAGCAACGCCGCGUGAGUUGAAGAAGGUUUUCGGAUCGUAAAGCUCUGUUGUUAAGGAAGAACGAGUGUGAGAAUGGAAAGUUCAUACUGUGACGGUACUUAACCAGAAAGGGACGGCUAACUACGUGCCAGCAGCCGCGGUAAUACGUAGGUCCCGAGCGUUGUCCGGAUUUAUUGGGCGUAAAGCGAGCGCAGGCGGUUAGAAAAGUCUGAAGUGAAAGGCAGUGGCUCAACCAUUGUAGGCUUUGGAAACUGUUUAACUUGAGUGCAGAAGGGGAGAGUGGAAUUCCAUGUGUAGCGGUGAAAUGCGUAGAUAUAUGGAGGAACACCGGUGGCGAAAGCGGCUCUCUGGUCUGUAACUGACGCUGAGGCUCGAAAGCGUGGGGAGCGAACAGGAUUAGAUACCCUGGUAGUCCACGCCGUAAACGAUGAGUGCUAGGUGUUAGGUCCUUUCCGGGACUUAGUGCCGCAGCUAACGCAUUAAGCACUCCGCCUGGGGAGUACGACCGCAAGGUUGAAACUCAAAGGAAUAGACGGGGGCCCGCACAAGCGGUGGAGCAUGUGGUUUAAUUCGAAGCACGCGAAGAACCUUACCAGGUCU